UACGGAGGGGGCGAGCGUUAUUCGGAAUUAUUGGGCGUAAAGGGCGCGUAGGCGGCCUGAUAAGUCAAAGGUGAAAUCCCUCGGCUCAACUGAGGAAUUGCCUUUGAAACUGUCAGGCUUGAGGCCGGGAGGGGGUGGCGGAAUUCCCAGUGUAGCGGUGAAAUGCGUAGAUAUUGGGAGGAACACCAGUGGCGAAGGCGGCCACCUGGACCGGUUCUGACGCUGAGGCGCGAAAGCGUGGGGAGCAAACGGG
This 253-nucleotide ribosomal RNA is filed under the name uncultured bacterium. RNAcentral describes it as "partial 16S ribosomal RNA". It matches the Rfam family "Bacterial small subunit ribosomal RNA", at positions 524 to 776 of the family's 1533-position model. The record is from RNAcentral.